This 432-nucleotide ribosomal RNA is filed under the name uncultured bacterium. RNAcentral describes it as "bacterial SSU rRNA". It matches the Rfam family "Bacterial small subunit ribosomal RNA", at positions 338 to 784 of the family's 1533-position model. The record is from RNAcentral.
CCUACGGGAGGCAGCAGUUAGGAAUAUUGGGCAAUGGAGGAAACUCUGACCCAGCAACGCCGCGUGAAGGAAGAAGGUUUUCGGAUUGUAAACUUCUGAUCUAGGGGAAAAAGAAAGUGAUGGUACCCUAGGAGAAAGCCACGGCUAACUACGUGCCAGCAGCCGCGGUAAUACGUAGGUGGCAAGCGUUGUCCGGAAUGACUGGGCGUAAAGGGAGCGUAGGUUGUUGUUUAAGUUAAAUGUGAAAGCCCGUGGCUCAACUACGGAACUGCAUUUAAUACUGGACAACUAGAGUGCAGGAGGGGUAAGCGGAAUUCCUAGUGUAGCGGUGGAAUGCGUAGAUAUUAGGAAGAACACCAGAGGCGAAGGCGGCUUACUGGACUGUAACUGACACUGAGGCUCGAAAGCGUGGGGAGCAAACAGGAUUAGAUA